This 254-nucleotide ribosomal RNA is filed under the name uncultured bacterium. RNAcentral's name for it is "partial 16S ribosomal RNA". It matches the Rfam family "Bacterial small subunit ribosomal RNA", at positions 524 to 776 of the family's 1533-position model. The record is from RNAcentral.
UACGAAGGGGACUAGCGUUGUUCGGAAUCACUGGGCGUAAAGCGCACGUAGGCGGGCUUUCUAAGUCGGGGGUGAAAUCCUGGAGCUCAACUCCGGAACUGCCUUUGAUACUGGCGAUCUUGAGUCCGGGAGAGGUGAGUGGAACUGCGAGUGUAGAGGUGAAAUUCGUAGAUAUUCGCAAGAACACCAGUGGCGAAGGCGGCUCACUGGCCCGGUACUGACGCUGAGGUGCGAAAGCGUGGGGAGCAAACAGG